RNAcentral lists this long non-coding RNA (434 nucleotides) under Coturnix japonica (Japanese quail). Its description in RNAcentral is "lncRNA (ENSCJPG00005006397.1)". The record is from RNAcentral. Lineage: Eukaryota; Metazoa; Chordata; Aves; Galliformes; Phasianidae.
AUUUGCCCUAUUUUCUCCGUUUUUAAGCCCCUUAUUUGCCCUCUAGCUAAAUCCCCGCUUUUUAGCCCCUUAUUUCCUCCUUUACCCCCCUAUUUCCACUCCUGUUAUCCCCUUAUUUCCUCCUUUUUAGCCCCUAAUUCCCCCCUUUUUUAAUCCCUUAUUGCCCAUCCCUUUAAUCCCCCUAUUUCCUCCUAAACCCCGCUAUCUCCCCCUUUUUAUCCUCUUAUUCCCCCCUUUAUCCCUUAUUCCCUCCCUUUACCCCCCUAUAAACACCCUUACCCCCCUAUUUCCUCCUUUAUUCCCCCCUUUAUCCCCCUAUUUCCUCCCUUUACCCCCCUAUAAACACCCUUACCCCCCUAUUUCCUCCUUUAUCCCCCCCUUACCCCCCCUAUUUCCUCCCCUAUCCCCUUCCAUAUCUCUUUCUCCUUUCAUUU